Molecule: small nucleolar RNA, 199 nt
Organism: Arabidopsis thaliana (thale cress)
Lineage: Eukaryota; Viridiplantae; Streptophyta; Magnoliopsida; Brassicales; Brassicaceae
Source: RefSeq
UGAACCAGACAUUGUCAGGUGCUUACUCUUUGACAUAUGAGUAAUUACUGUUACAUGUCGGGUAGAGAAAAAAGAGAGAAGGAAAAGCUUUUUAACCUGAGCUUCAUUUUUAGAGUUUGGAUUUCUUUUUUAAGAUGCUCAUCGUUUGCUUGGUCAUCUGCAUUUGGUGAUGCCUGAGCUACAUCUGUUCAUCACAUUU